AAGACCUUGCGCCUUUGGAGCGGCCGAUGUCUGAUUAGCUAGUUGGUAGGGUAAUGGCCUACCAAAGCUUCGAUCAGUAGCUGGUCUGAGAGGACGACCAGCCACACUGGGACUGAGACACGGCCCAGACUCCUACGGGAGGCAGCAGUGGGGAAUUUUGGACAAUGGGGGCAACCCUGAUCCAGCCAUGCCGCGUGAGUGAAGAAGGCCUUCGGGUUGUAAAGCUCUUUCAGCCGGAACGAAACGGUUACGGUUAAUACCCAUGACUACUGACGGUACCGGAAGAAGAAGCACCGGCUAACUACGUGCCAGCAGCCGCGGUAAUACGUAGGGUGCGAGCGUUAAUCGGAAUUACUGGGCGUAAAGCGUGCGCAGGUGGUUUUGUAAGUCAGAUGUGAAAGCCCCGGGCUCAACCUGGGAACU
Molecule: ribosomal RNA, 423 nt
Filed under: uncultured bacterium
Lineage: Bacteria
Description: bacterial SSU rRNA
Rfam family: Bacterial small subunit ribosomal RNA
Source: RNAcentral